CGCGCUCUCCGCUCUCCGCCGCUCAGGGAAUCCCAGCGGGGCUGGGGCUGGAAGGGAGCUCUGGAGAUCACCCAGGGCAGCCCCCCUGCCAAGGCAGGGUCACCCAGGGCAGAAGACACUGAAUCGCUCCCAUUAAAAAAACCCUUCACCUUCACCUUCAAGGCUCUGCAGACUCUGGGUUUCAGAAACAAAAGGAGCCACCUCUAUGGACAGAGCAUUCAGCCUCACUCACUUGGCAAGCUGCCAGUAGGAAGCAGCAUGUGAAAUUUAGCAAGGAGCCAGGCUGGGUGAUAUUUGCUCUGUAGAUGCUCUUAAAGGCUUCAUAACUUAUUUAUGAGGAGAAAAGAAGUAAAACUUGUGCAUUUACAUCACAUCCCUGCAUGUUUCCAAGAAAGGCCUAAGGUGAAUCCAUGACUUCUGUACCUGUUUUGUAUGGCAGUCUUCUAUUAGAAGAAUCUGCUUCUGGACAUAGUACAGGAAUCAGUCCAAAAUGAACCAUCAGGGCAACAAAUGCCAUGCUCCAGUGGCCUCCCCUGACGUUUGACCUGCCCUGCAAUCACCA
Motacilla alba alba is the source of this 562-nucleotide long non-coding RNA. RefSeq lists it as uncharacterized. The transcript is spliced from 4 exons. The record is from RefSeq and is a predicted model, not a curated record. Lineage: Eukaryota; Metazoa; Chordata; Aves; Passeriformes; Motacillidae.